AAGCGCCGGCUAACUACGUGCCAGCAGCCGCGGUAAUACGUAGGGCGCAAGCGUUAUCCGGAAUUAUUGGGCGUAAAGAGCUCGUAGGCGGUCUGUCGCGUCUGCUGUGAAAUCCCGAGGCUCAACCUCGGGUCUGCAGUGGGUACGGGCAGACUAGAGUGCGGUAGGGGAGAUUGGAAUUCCUGGUGUAGCGGUGGAAUGCGCAGAUAUCAGGAGGAACACCGAUGGCGAAGGCAGAUCUCUGGGCCGUAACUGACGCUGAGGAGCGAAAGGGUGGGGAGCAAACAGGCUUAGAUACCCUGGUAGUCCACCCCGUAAACGUUGGGAACUAGUUGUGGGGUCCAUUCCACGGAUUCCGUGACGCAGCUAACGCAUUAAGUUCCCCGCCUGGGGAGUACGGCCGCAAGGCUAAAACUCAAAGGAAUUGACGGGGACCCGCACAAGCGGCGGAGCAUGCGGAUUAAUUCGAUGCAACGCGAAGAACCUUACCAAGGCUUGACAUAUACGAGAACGGGCUAGAAAUAGUCAACUCUUUGGACACUCGUAAACAGGUGGUGCAUGGUUGUCGUCAGCUCGUGUCGUGAGAUGUUGGGUUAAGUCCCGCAACGAGCGCAACCCUCGUUCUAUGUUGCCAGCACGUAAUGGUGGGAACUCAUGGGAUACUGCCGGGGUCAACUCGGAGGAAGGUGGGGAUGACGUCAAAUCAUCAUGCCCCUUAUGUCUUGGGCUUCACGCAUGCUACAAUGGCCGGUACAAAGGGCUGCAAUACCGCGAGGUGGAGCGAAUCCCAAAAAGCCGGUCCCAGUUCGGAUUGAGGUCUGCAACUCGACCUCAUGAAGUCGGAGUCGCUAGUAAUCGCAGAUCAGCAACGCUGCGGUGAAUACGUUCCCGGGUCUUGUACACACCGCCCGUCAAGUCAUGAAAGUCGGUAACACCUGAAGCCGGU
This 946-nucleotide ribosomal RNA is filed under the name Microbacterium sp. RNAcentral's name for it is "bacterial SSU rRNA". It matches the Rfam family "Bacterial small subunit ribosomal RNA", at positions 488 to 1431 of the family's 1533-position model. The record is from RNAcentral. Lineage: Bacteria; Bacillati; Actinomycetota; Actinomycetes; Micrococcales; Microbacteriaceae.